Long non-coding RNA from Triticum dicoccoides, 290 nucleotides. RefSeq lists it as uncharacterized. The record is from RefSeq and is a predicted model, not a curated record. The transcript is spliced from 3 exons. Lineage: Eukaryota; Viridiplantae; Streptophyta; Magnoliopsida; Poales; Poaceae.
UUCUCAUACAUCUUUUUCCAUGGUAGGAAACCUGUCAGUCGAACAAGGAGAACCGUUUCGAAGUUAAGUUCCAUCAGAAAACUGGUUCUCGCCCCUACAUUUCCCAUGUGCAUGCUUUGAAAGAGGCUCGUAAGGGUGAAGAGUUGACUUUGUUUGAUAUAUUCAAGGAGUGCCACAAUGGCAAGAAGACUGGUUUCUCUGAGCCAGUUAAGAAGGUGAUAGCUGACAUGUAAAAAGCUAUGGAACAAGGGGUACCAGAAGGUGGAGAACCAAAGAAUGUUGCUGCUGUU